AGAGCGAACGCUGGCGGCAGGCCUAACACAUGCAAGUCGAACGGACCCUUCGGGGUUAGUGGCGGACGGGUGAGUAACACGUGGGAACGUGCCUUUUGGUUCGGAAUAGCUCCUGGAAACGGGUGGUAAUGCCGAAUGUGCCCUUCGGGGGAAAGAUUUAUCGCCAUUAGAGCGGCCCGCGUCUGAUUAGCUAGUUGGUGAGGUAAAGGCUCACCAAGGCUACGAUCAGUAGCUGGUCUGAGAGAUGACCAGCCACAUUGGGACUGAGACACGGCCCAAACUCCUACGGGAGGCAGCAGUGGGGAAUCUUGCGCAAUGGGCGAAAGCCUGACGCAGCCAUGCCGCGUGAAUGAUGAAGGUCUUAGGAUUAGUAAAAUUCUUUCACCGGGGACGAUAAUGACGGUACCCGGAAGAAGAAGACCCGGCUAACUUCGUACCAAGCAGACCGAC
RNAcentral lists this ribosomal RNA (450 nucleotides) under uncultured soil bacterium. RNAcentral's name for it is "bacterial SSU rRNA". It matches the Rfam family "Bacterial small subunit ribosomal RNA", at positions 26 to 526 of the family's 1533-position model. The record is from RNAcentral.